AUACGGAGGGUGCAAGCGUUAAUCGGAAUUACUGGGCGUAAAGCGUACGUAGGCGGUUCGUUAAGUUAGACGUGAAGGCCCCGGGCUUAACCGGGGAACUGCAUUUAAAACUGGCGAACUAGAGUUGAGUAGAGGGGAGUGGAAUUUCAGGUGUAGCGGUGAAAUGCGUAGAGAUCUAAAGGAACACCAGUGGCGAAGGCGACUCCCUGGACUCGAACUGACGCUGAGGUACGAAAGCGUGGGUAGCAAACGGGAUUAGAUACCCCAGUAGUCC
This 274-nucleotide ribosomal RNA is filed under the name uncultured bacterium. Its description in RNAcentral is "partial 16S ribosomal RNA". It matches the Rfam family "Bacterial small subunit ribosomal RNA", at positions 523 to 796 of the family's 1533-position model. The record is from RNAcentral.